Molecule: ribosomal RNA, 261 nt
Filed under: uncultured soil bacterium
Lineage: Bacteria
Description: partial 16S ribosomal RNA
Rfam family: Bacterial small subunit ribosomal RNA
Source: RNAcentral
AGAUUGAACGCUGGCGGCAGGCCUAACACAUGCAAGUCGAGCGGUAGAGAGGUGCUUGCACCUCUUGAGAGCUGCGGACGGGUGAGUAAUGCCUAGGAAUCUGCCUAGUGGGUGGGGGAUAACGGUUCGGAAACGGACGCUAAUACCGCAUACGUCCUACGGGAGAAAGCGGGGGACCUUCGGGCCUCGCGCCAUUAGAUGAGCCUAGGUCGGAUUAGCUAGUUGGUGAGGUAAUGGCUCACCCAAGGCGACGAUCCGUAA